CCACAACGUAACUUUGUGACGUUGCCAGUAAGUAACUGCGACGUCGUGGCAACGUCGCGAAUCGGUAGUUGUGUGCUGGUAAUCAGUUGGUAAUUUUUGAUAAUUAUUUAUUUUUUAUGGGCGGACAUGCAGUAGUUUAAUCUAAUUUAUGUCCUCAUAUGCCCAAACUAAUUUAAAGGCUGUUUCAGCAGCUGUGAAUGAUGAAUACAGACUCGAAAUGAAUUCAGUUCAUUUAUUAACAAACAAAUAUGACCAGUAAUACACCCAAAUUAUUAAUAAAAACAUAGGAUAUACAGCAAAAUAUGAAUGAAAGCAUUCAGCCCAUACAGAAGCACAUAGAUUAAAAUAUAUUAAUAAUAAAUAAAUGUCCAUAUAUUUAAAUAUCUAUAUCCUUCUGUAAGCAUCCAGGAUCAAAACAUUAUGCACAAAUAUUCAAGUCUUAGUAGGCACUCAGCCCAUUGCAUUUAAAUAUUUAAGAGAGCCAUCAUUAACCAUGCACACAUCAACUAAUCACAUGCUCCCACAAUAAUACAUCAGCUAAUCGCACCCUUAACCAAACCACUACAAAUAAUUAACUGAAAAUCAUAUGCAAUAUCUUAUGAACAGAUGUAUUAUAGCAAAUCAGGUUUAAUGAAUCUCACACCUAACAUACAGCAUUAUGGCCAGUUCACACUGCCAAAAAAACUAUUUAAAAAACAUGCUUAUUUUGUUUGAACUGCUGGAGUAUGGCGGUGUGAAUUGGCUUUUAGGUGCUUUGGACACCAAAAAAACAAACAAAAAAAAAACUAUUAAUGUUAAUUGCUAAAACAGUAUAUAUAAUGUUUAAGCAAUUAAUAUUAAAUUCUUAAAUCUUCAGUAAUUCUUACUUUCUCUAUGCUUGCAAUAUUCAAGUGUUCAUGUCCCUGAGUAAUAUCUGCAUCCACCGAAGUAUGCUAGUAGACAGCAGUCCAUAUGAGAGAGGUCUGGUGUGGAGGGUGGAUCUGGAACUGACUUCUGUACAGUUUGUCACAUCUCUUGAUUAUCUGUCUUCACAAACUGCCCUGAAUAGUCAAAUGGAGCGUAGAGUCCUGGAGAUGUUGUCCGAGAGCAGCUCCGCUCCGACUCUGCUGGUGUUCAGGCCAUCAGCGCGAAAAAGCCUAGGACGCUUCCAGAAAAGAUUCCAAUUAUUAACAAAGAGCAGUUUCUGUUCUUUACACCAUGACAAUAACCAUUCAUUUAGAGCAAAAACUCUACUGAACCUUUCGUGUCCUCAUCUAUACAUGAGAAAAGGUGCUGAGAUGAUGAUCAUCGUGCAGGCGAUAUGCUGCACACCAUCUCGAUCAGGCUCCUGAAGUCCCUCUUUAGUGUCUGCGUCUGCCGCAGCUUUGGUGUUGUUAACCCCGGCGUGAAGCACGACCGCUCCGAUGCUCUCUUCACCCUUCAGGAUCACGGGUAUCUGCGCAGAAAUAUCAAGAACACGAGCACCAGGGAAACAGUGAGUGUGCACAUUACCUCCAGCUAACAUAGCACGAAUAUGCCGGAUGAUGGAGUCUCCGACGAACACAGAGUCGUGUUCUGUCUCGUGAAGUGGAGGAAAUCGGAUUCCAGUGGAGUUCCCGAAGACCGGAGGCGACGGGGGGAGAGAGGUUGUCCCCCAGGACCUGGCUCAUGUCUUCCGCUGUGGCACAGGGUGAAGGACAUCUGGGAAGAUUGCGUCCUGGGUACACCGGGCCUGUGCAGAGAACCACACAGAGUAGAGGUGGUGGGAGAGUUAGCAGCGUGCUGUAUACUUACACUGGACUUAUGAGCAUCAACCCCUGAAUGUUUCCAUCACGGCUCUCCGCUCUCUCAGCUGAGCCUGCUUCUCCACGAGGUCACGGAUCUGCUUCUCCACGGCCUCCAGCUCCUUAUUAGAAAUAAACAAACUAGAGAAAUGCAGAAAAGAACAAUAGUAAUAUGGAAAAAAUACAAAAAAAUGUUAAGAUACCUGAAUUUGUUUACAAUGAAAAAUCAAAACGUGUUUGAAACAGUGGUUUGAAAUAGUUUCAGCCCAUUUUAGACUGCGUGCAAGUGACGUCACUGACAGACUCUACAGUGCAGACUUUUAGGUUAAAUUAAUUAGCUUACUUCCAUAUAUCUAUUGACAAAUUAUCAGCAAAAACAUUUACAAAGCUAUCAAAACCGCCCCUUUACACAUAAGAUGUGAUUAAAAGCCCAAACUUUCAUUAAUAAGAGCUCAAAUCUAGUACGUUAUGCUAUAAUUAUGUUUCUACGCUAGCGUAAUAUUUGCUAGCAGACAUUUCAGAUAAUUAAGGAAAUAUACCAUAAUCACAGAGGUAUAAAUAUUAACAAAAGUACUUAAAGUAGACUGUGGAUGAUAUUAAUAUGUGUUACUUAAGCAAUCUGUCGCAGUUGUUGAACUUUUCUUUGGUAUAACUGACGAGAAACAGAGAAAGUGUCAGACGCGUCCUCUCCUCUCCAGCAGCUGAUGUGUCCGCGGUUGCCAUGGUAACUCUCAACGGCUAAUAGGCUAAUAAAAACAAUAUUAUUAAAAAAGGGUUUUAGCGUCUUUACAGAGUUCAAGACGUUUGUUUUUACUUUGUUUUAUACAUUUUAUCAACCUAUUUAUUUAUUAUAAAUUGUAAGACUCACCUCAGAAAAGCUAAUUCUCCGGUCAGACACAGUUGAAGUGAAAAGUGCCUCAAACAAACGCGCUGUCCUCCUGAUACAGUAUCUGCGGCAGAUGAGAUGGUAUAGCCAGUCUGUGUCAUUAUUUCACGUUCAUAACUCCUUACGAAAUAGAAAGUUUCACAACUCAGAAAAAAUGUAUUUCCUUUCUUGUCAGUAUACUGUGCGCGCGGUGUGUCAGCUGUGGAAGCGCGCGCGCUGUAUGUCACGUCAUUAUAUAUUAAAAGCAUGUCCAUAUUCUGACUUGGUGAAAAGAAACACAUUUUAUCUUUAAGGAACGUUUAAUCUUGUGUCUGAAGUUUAAUUACACUUUUUAAAUAUCACUAUACUCAGAAAGCAUAUAAAGAACAAAAGUUAUGGUAAUGAAAUUACGUGCAAACGACGUCGUAGUUACGUUGCCAGUAAGUCAUGAAGUUACCAAUAUAUUACGAAUAGAGAACCUAUCUGGGACGUUCUUGGUUAUCUGGUCACGUUGGAAGGACGUACUGACGACGUUGCGAGUUGGUAAUGUGAUGGUAAUAAAAUUACGGGCAUGCGACGUCGUAGUUACGUUGUCAAUUGGUAAGUCACGGAAUUACCAAAAAUUACCAAUACGUUACGUAACUGUUACGUCGUGUGUUAGCAGGGUAUGCACAAAGCAAAAAUGACUGCGGUAAAGUACACGCUGAGUUUGAACAUGUAGUAAAAGGAGGGAUUCCCCCUCCUCAGAGACAAUAUAAAAUGAAUGGUGCUGCAGAGAAUGACAGCCGCGAGACUAUUAAAGAACC
Cyprinus carpio carpio is the source of this 3434-nucleotide long non-coding RNA. Lineage: Eukaryota; Metazoa; Chordata; Actinopteri; Cypriniformes; Cyprinidae. The record is from Ensembl.